GACGAACGCUGGCGGCGCGCUUAACACAUGCAAGUCGAACGGAAAGGCCUGCUUUCCCUUGUGGAUUGCGGGUACUCGGGUGGGUAACGGGUGAGUAACACGUGAGUGAUCUGCCCCCAACUUGGGUAUAAGCCUGGGAAACUGGGUCUAAUUCCCGAUAGGACUGCAGGGUGGUGCCUGUGGUGGAAAACGAUUUUCUCGUGGUUGGGGCUGAGCUCGCGGCCUAUCAGCUUGUUGGUGGGGUAAUGGCCUACCAAGGCGGCGACGGGUAGCCGGCCUGAGAGGGUGGACGGGCACAGUGAGACUGAGAUACGGCCCAGACGCCUACGGGAGGCAGCAGUGGGGAAUAUUGCACAAUGGGCGGAAGCCUGAUGCAGCGACGCCGCGUGGGGGAUGACGGCCUUCGGGUUGUAAACUCCUUUCGACCGCGAGGAAGCCACCUGGUUGGAAGGGUGGUGACGGUAGUGGUAGAAGAAGCACCGGCUAACUACGUG
RNAcentral lists this ribosomal RNA (494 nucleotides) under uncultured bacterium. RNAcentral describes it as "partial 16S ribosomal RNA". It matches the Rfam family "Bacterial small subunit ribosomal RNA", at positions 28 to 507 of the family's 1533-position model. The record is from RNAcentral.